This 78-nucleotide transfer RNA is filed under the name Mycobacterium avium subsp. hominissuis. RNAcentral's name for it is "tRNA-Phe". It matches the Rfam family "tRNA". Rfam says of the family: Transfer RNA (tRNA) molecules are approximately 80 nucleotides in length. The record is from RNAcentral. RNAcentral also lists the same sequence under 1 other name. Lineage: Bacteria; Bacillati; Actinomycetota; Actinomycetes; Mycobacteriales; Mycobacteriaceae.
GCCGUUGUAGCUCAGCUCAGGCAGAGCGCCCGGUUGAAGCCCGGAAGGUCACAGGUUCAAAUCCUGUCAGCGGCACCC